Molecule: ribosomal RNA, 561 nt
Filed under: uncultured bacterium
Lineage: Bacteria
Description: bacterial SSU rRNA
Rfam family: Bacterial small subunit ribosomal RNA
Source: RNAcentral
CCUACGGGAGGCAGCAGUGGGGAAUAUUGGACAAUGGGCGAAAGCCUGAUCCAGCAAUGCCGCGUGAGUGAUGAAGGCCUUAGGGUUGUAAAGCUCUUUUACCAGGGAUGAUAAUGACAGUACCUGGAGAAUAAGCUCCGGCUAACUCCGUGCCAGCAGCCGCGGUAAUACGGAGGGAGCUAGCGUUAUUCGGAAUUACUGGGCGUAAAGCGUACGUAGGCGGUUAUUCAAGUCAGAGGUGAAAGCCCGGGGCUCAACCCCGGAACUGCCUUUGAAGCUAGAUAACUAGAGUCUUGGAGAGGUUAGUGGAAUUCCGAGUGUAGAGGUGAAAUUCGUAGAUAUUCGGAAGAACACCAGUGGCGAAGGCGACUAACUGGACAAGUACUGACGCUGAGGUACGAAAGCGUGGGGAGCAAACAGGAUUAGAUACCCUGGUAGUCCACGCCGUAAACGAUGAUAACUAGCUGUCCGGGCACUUGGUGCCUGGGUGGCGCAGCUAACGCAUUAAGUUAUCCGCCUGGGGAGUACGGUCGCAAGAUUAAAACUUAAAUGAAUUGACGG